GAUGAACGCUGGCGGCGUGCCUAAUACAUGCAAGUCGAGCGAACAGACGAGGAGCUUGCUCCUCUGACGUUAGCGGCGGACGGGUGAGUAACACGUGGAUAACCUACCUAUAAGACUGGGAUAACUUCGGGAAACCGGAGCUAAUACCGGAUAAUAUAUUGAACCGCAUGGUUCAAUAGUGAAAGACGGUUUUGCUGUCACUUAUAGAUGGAUCCGCGCCGCAUUAGCUAGUUGGUAAGGUAACGGCUUACCAAGGCAACGAUGCGUAGCCGACCUGAGAGGGUGAUCGGCCACACAGGAACUGAGACACGGUCCAGACUCCUACGGGAGGCAGCAGUAGGGAAUCCUCCGCAAUGGGCGAAAGCCUGACGGAGCAACGCCGCGUGAGUGAUGAAGGUCUUCGGAUCGUAAAACUCUGUUAUUAGGGAAGAACAAAUGUGUAAGUAACUAUGCACGUCUUGACGGUACCUAAUCAGAAAGCCACGGCUAACUACGUG
This 497-nucleotide ribosomal RNA is filed under the name uncultured bacterium. RNAcentral's name for it is "partial 16S ribosomal RNA". It matches the Rfam family "Bacterial small subunit ribosomal RNA", at positions 28 to 507 of the family's 1533-position model. The record is from RNAcentral.